Molecule: ribosomal RNA, 468 nt
Filed under: uncultured bacterium
Lineage: Bacteria
Description: partial 16S ribosomal RNA
Rfam family: Bacterial small subunit ribosomal RNA
Source: RNAcentral
GACGAACGCUGGCGGCGUGCUUAACACAUGCAAGUCGAACGGAAAGGCCCUGCUUUUGUGGGGUGCUCGAGUGGCGAACGGGUGAGUAACACGUGAGUAACCUGCCCUUGACUUUGGGAUAACUUCAGGAAACUGGGGCUAAUACCGGAUAGGAGCUCCUGCUGCAUGGUGGGGGUUGGAAAGUUUCGGCGGUUGGGGAUGGACUCGCGGCUUAUCAGCUUGUUGGUGGGGUAGUGGCUUACCAAGGCUUUGACGGGUAGCCGGCCUGAGAGGGUGACCGGCCACAUUGGGACUGGAAUACGGACCAGACUCCUACGGGAGGGAGCAGUGGGGAAUAUUGCACAAUGGGCGGAAGCCUGAUGCAGCAACGCCGCGUGCGGGAUGACGGCCUUCGGGUUGUAAACCGCUUUCGCCUGUGACGAAGCGUGAGUGACGGUAAUGGGUAAAGAAGCACCGGCUAACUACGUG